AGUUUGAUUAUGGCUCAGAUUGAACGCUGGCGGGAUGCUUUACACAUGCAAGUCGAACGGCAGCACGGACUUCAUUCAGUGGCGAGUGGCGAACGGGUGAGUAAUGUAUCGGAAAACGUGCCUAGUAGCGGGGGAUAACUACGAAAGCGUAGCCAAUACCGCAUACGCCCUUCGGGGAAAGCGGGGACCUUCGGGCCUCGCAAUUAUUAGAGCAGCCGAUAUCGUAAUACCAGCUAAGUUGCGGGUAACGGCUCACCAAGGCGACGAUCCAGCUGGUUUGAGAGGACGACCAGCCACACUGGGACUGAGAGAUUAUCGGCCCAGACUCCUACGGAGGCAGCAGUGGGGAAUUUUUUUGAUAAUGGGGGAAACCCGAUCCAGCCAUCCUGGCGUGUGCGAUGAAGGCCUUCGGGCUAAAAGAAUUCUUUGGCAGGAAAGAAACGGCACGGGAUAAUACCCGUGCAACUGACGGUACCUGCAGAAUAAGUACCGAAGCACCACGCCAGCAGCCGCGGUAAUACGUAGUGCGUUAACUGAAUUAUUGGGCGUAAAGCGUGCGCAGGCAGGUUCGGAAAGAAAGAUGAAUCCAGAGCUUAAUCUCUUGAAAUCGUAUUUAACUACCGAGCUAGAGUGUGUCAGAGGGAGGUGGGAAUUCCAUGUAGCAGCAGUGGAAUGCGUAGAUAUGCGAGGAACACCGGAUGGCGUAAAGGCAGCUUCCUGGGAUAACACUGACGCUCGCGGCCGAAAGUGUGGGGAUAAACAGGAUUAGAUACCCCGGUAGUCCACGCCCUAAACGAUGUCAACUAGUUGGUGCUGGGGCUCUCGGGCCUUGGUAGCGCAGCUUAACGCGGUGGUUGACCGCCUGGGGAGUACGGUCAAGAUUAAAACUCAAAGGAAUUGACGGGGACCCGCACAAGCGAUGGAUGAUGUGGAUUUAAUUGAUGCAACCAUGAAAAACCUUACCUACCCUUGACAUGUCUGGAAUCCCGAAGAGAUUGGGAGUGCUCGCGGUAAGAGAACGGAACACAGUAAGUUGCAAGGGCUGUCGUCAGCUCGUAAUGUGAUGUUGGGUUAAGUCCCGCAACGAGCGCAACCUUGUCAUUAUUACGAAAGGGUUGUUCCAUCGACUGCCGGUGACAAACCGGAGAAGCGUGGGGAUGACGUCAAGUCCUCAGCGGCCUUAUGGUGGGUCACAUUAUACAAUGGUCGGGGACAGAGGGUCGCCAACCUGCGAGGGGAGCCAAUCCCAGAAACCUGAUUGGGGCCGAUCGCAGUCUGCAACUGACUGGUGUGAAGUCGGAAUCGCUAGUAAUCGCGGAUCAGCAUGUCGCGGUGAAUACGUUCCUGGUCUUGUACACAAUUCCGCCCGUCACACCAUAAGGGGUUUGCACUUUGCAUAGUUAGCCUAACCGUAAGGAGGGCGAUUACCACGGUAGGAUCUGGCGAUCAGUGAAGUCGUAACAAGGUAG
RNAcentral lists this ribosomal RNA (1469 nucleotides) under uncultured Bordetella sp. RNAcentral's name for it is "partial 16S-23S ribosomal RNA intergenic spacer". It matches the Rfam family "Bacterial small subunit ribosomal RNA". The record is from RNAcentral. Lineage: Bacteria; Pseudomonadati; Pseudomonadota; Betaproteobacteria; Burkholderiales; Alcaligenaceae.